GAUGAAGAACGUAGCGAAAUGCGAUAAGUAGUGUGAAUUGCAGAAUUCAGUGAAUCAUCGAAUCUUUGAACGCACAUUGCGCCUCCUGGUAUUCCGGGAGGCAUGCCUGUUCGAGCGUCAUUAAAUUCACUCAAGCUUAGGUUUACCUAUUGCUUGGUCUUGGAGAUGGAAGCCAAUUUAUUGGAAUCCUCUUCGAAAUUCAAUGGCGAAGACCCUUGCUCUCCCAAGUGUAGUAAUAACUUAUGUCACUGAAGGAAGCGAGAAAUCUUCUGCCGUAACCCCCAUAUUUUCUAUGAUUGACCUCGGAUCAGGUAGGGAUACCCGCUGAACUUAAGCAUAUCAAUAAGCGGAGGA
RNAcentral lists this unclassified non-coding RNA (354 nucleotides) under soil metagenome. RNAcentral describes it as "partial contains 5.8S ribosomal RNA, internal transcribed spacer 2, and large subunit ribosomal RNA". The stretch from base 1 to 120 matches the Rfam family "5.8S ribosomal RNA", at positions 35 to 154 of the family's 154-position model. The record is from RNAcentral.